Molecule: ribosomal RNA, 520 nt
Filed under: Saccocirrus sp. 5 MDD-2013
Lineage: Eukaryota; Metazoa; Annelida; Polychaeta; Saccocirridae
Description: partial 16S ribosomal RNA
Rfam family: Bacterial large subunit ribosomal RNA
Source: RNAcentral
GCCUGUUUAUCAAAAACAUUGUCUUAUGAAGACUUAUAUAAGAUAACCCCUGCCCAGUGAAAUUUUAAACGGCCGCGGUACCCUGACCGUGCAAAGGUAGCAUAAUCACUUGCCCUUUAAUUAGGGGCUGGAAUGAAUGGGUGAACGAAAGCCUAACUGUCUCAAAGAUAAUUAUAAAAAUUAAUCUCUGGGUGAAGAAGCCCAGAUAAUUAUGAAAGACAAGAAGACCCUGUCGAGCUCCGCACUUAAUAGAACUCCUACAUUUUAAAGAAAAAGAGAUUCAAUUAAAGGUGCUUCAUUGGGGCGAUGAGAGAAUAAAUAACACAUCUCUUUUUAUAAAGGUUAUUAACCAAAAAAUGACCCACUAUAUGUGAUCAAAAGAAAAAGCUACCGCAGGGAUAACAGGCUAAUCCUUUCAGAAAGCUCCCAUCGACGAAAGGGGUUGGCACCUCGAUGUUGGCUUAGAAUUUCCCCGAGGCGCAGCUGCCUCGAAGGUUGGUUUGUUCAACCAUUAAAAUUC